CAGUGGGGAAUAUUGGGCAAUGGGCGCAAGCCUGACCCAGCAACGCCGCGUGAAGGAAGAAGGCUUUCGGGUUGUAAACUUCUUUUCUUAGGGACGAAACAAUGACGGUACCUAAGGAAUAAGCCACGGCUAACUACGUGCC
This 142-nucleotide ribosomal RNA is filed under the name uncultured bacterium. RNAcentral describes it as "partial 16S ribosomal RNA". It matches the Rfam family "Bacterial small subunit ribosomal RNA", at positions 352 to 509 of the family's 1533-position model. The record is from RNAcentral.